Molecule: ribosomal RNA, 439 nt
Filed under: uncultured bacterium
Lineage: Bacteria
Description: partial 16S ribosomal RNA
Rfam family: Bacterial small subunit ribosomal RNA
Source: RNAcentral
CCUACGGGGGGCUGCAGUGGGAGAUUUUGCACAAUGGAGGAAACUCUGAUGCAGCGACGCCGCGUGAGGGAAUACGGUCUUCGGAUUGUAAACCUCUGUCCUUGGGGAAGAAAAUGACGGUACCCAAAGCGGAAGCUCCGGCUAACUAUGUGCCAGCAGCCGCGGUAAUACGUAGGGAGCGAGCGUGGUCCGGAAUUACUGGGGGAAAGGGGAGCGUAGGCGGGCGGGAAAGUUGAAUGGUAAAUCUACCGGCUCAACUGGUAGCUGCGUACAAAACUUCGUGUCUUGAGUGAAGUAGAGGCAGGCGGAAUUCCUAGUGUAGCAGUGAAAUGCGUAGAUAUUAGGAGGAACACCAGUGGCGAAGGCGGCCUGCUGGGCUUUAACUGACGCUGAGGCUCGAAGGCGUGGGGAGCAAACAGGAUUAGAUACCUCGGUAGUC